UAGGGCAAUGCAAGGGAGCAGCUAACAACACAGCUCAAGUCAGACUGCCAGCUUCCUGCUCAAAUUCUUCCUCCAACAUCUCCCAGCUGUGUAAUCUUGGACACAUUGAUUAAUCUCCAUCUCCACAACUUUAAAAUGGUGCUAACAAAUGCAUGCACUAAUGAAUAUUAUUAUUAGAAUGGUGGUUGGAUGAGUAUUUUACAUACAAAAUGUUUAAAGAAUAUGUGGCUCAUAAAAAGCACUGUAAGUUUAGCUAAAUAUUGUUUCCUGUAAAAUAGGGCUACCUUAUUAGGAUAAGAGGAGAUUAUAAAAGAUAGGCUUUUAUAACCAAGAUGUUCAUCUUGGUUCUGAGAAAACUCUCAAAAAUACAUUAGUCUGUGCUCUUUAUUUGAUGAUUAAAAUCUUGAAAAAGUAUUUGUAAAUCAGUGCAUAUUUCACAUGCACUAGGAGGGGCUAUUUAAAGGAAAUUAUCAGGGUAAUGCAAUUAUUGUUGUAAAUUUAGAUUCCAAUAAAGUAUUUUUUUCUGUAAGGCACACCUAUAAUAAAGGAAUAUGAAUAAUUAUUAA
This 566-nucleotide long non-coding RNA is filed under the name Pan troglodytes (chimpanzee). RNAcentral's name for it is "lincRNA". The record is from RNAcentral. Lineage: Eukaryota; Metazoa; Chordata; Mammalia; Primates; Hominidae.